This 468-nucleotide ribosomal RNA is filed under the name uncultured bacterium. RNAcentral describes it as "partial 16S ribosomal RNA". It matches the Rfam family "Bacterial small subunit ribosomal RNA", at positions 28 to 507 of the family's 1533-position model. The record is from RNAcentral.
GACGAACGCUGGCGGCGUGCUUAACACAUGCAAGUCGAACGGAAAGGCCCUGCUUUUGUGGGGUGCUCGAGUGGCGAACGGGUGAGUAACACGUGAGUAACCUGCCCUUGACUUUGGGAUAACUUCAGGAAACUGGGGCUAAUACCGGGUAGGAGCUCCUGCUGCAUGGUGGGGGUUGGAAAGUUUCGGCGGUUGGGGAUGGACUCGCGGCUUAUCAGCUUGUUGGUGGGGUAGUGGCUUACCAAGGCUUUGACGGGUAGCCGGCCUGAGAGGGUGACCGGCCACAUUGGGACUGAGAUACGGACCAGACUCCUACGGGAGGCAGCAGUGGGGAAUAUUGCAGAAUGAGCGGAAGCCUGAUGCAGCAGCGCCGCGUGCGGGAUGACGGCCUUCGGGUUGUAAACCGCUUUCGCCUGUGACGAAGCGUGAGUGACGGUAAUGGGUAAAGAAGCACCGGCUAACUACGUG